RNAcentral lists this ribosomal RNA (415 nucleotides) under uncultured bacterium. RNAcentral describes it as "bacterial SSU rRNA". It matches the Rfam family "Bacterial small subunit ribosomal RNA", at positions 355 to 787 of the family's 1533-position model. The record is from RNAcentral.
UCGGGAAUAUUGCGCAAUGGAGGAAACUCUGACGCAGUGACGCCGCGUGCAGGAAGAAGGUUUUCGGAUUGUAAACUGCUUUAGACAGGGAAGAAAAAGACAGUACCUGUAGAAUAAGCUCCGGCUAACUACGUGCCAGCAGCCGCGGUAAUACGUAGGGAGCAAGCGUUAUCCGGAUUUAUUGGGUGUAAAGGGUGCGUAGACGGGAAGACAAGUUAGUUGUGAAAUCCCUCGGCUUAACUGAGGAACUGCAACUAAAACUAUCAUUCUUGAGUGCUGGAGAGGAAAGUGGAAUUCCUAGUGUAGCGGCGAAAUGCGUAGAUAUUAGGAGGAACACCAGUGGCGAAGGCGACUUUCUGGACAGUAACUGACGUUGAGGCACGAAAGUGUGGGGAGCAAACAGGAUUAGAUACCC